AAGGUUUUAGCUUAAUCAAAGUGUCUGCUUUGCAUGCAGAAGAUGUGGGAUAGUGUCCUGCAAGCCUUA
This 69-nucleotide transfer RNA is filed under the name Valencia hispanica. RNAcentral's name for it is "tRNA-Ala". It matches the Rfam family "tRNA". From Rfam's summary of the family: Transfer RNA (tRNA) molecules are approximately 80 nucleotides in length. Their secondary structure includes four short double-helical elements and three loops (D, anti-codon, and T loops). Lineage: Eukaryota; Metazoa; Chordata; Actinopteri; Cyprinodontiformes; Valenciidae. The record is from RNAcentral.